CAGCUACUCCCUCCGUCCGAAAAAGCUUGUCUCUCAAAUGGAUGUAUCUAACACCGAAUUAGUGCUAGAUACAUCCAUUUAAGGAACAAACUUGGGACAUGCUUUUUUGGACGGAGGGAGUAGUAC
Molecule: non-coding RNA, 126 nt
Organism: Triticum urartu
Lineage: Eukaryota; Viridiplantae; Streptophyta; Magnoliopsida; Poales; Poaceae
Source: Rfam